GCUGAACCAGCAACUUGGAGGAAUGUAUAGCAAUAGCUGAUUGCACCAACAAAUAGUUGAUGCAAUAUUGACUCUGUCAAAUAAAAUUCUAGGUAGAAUUAUGAUAAUGACAUUGUCUGCCUAUAUGUCUUGACCAAAUUACGUGCCAGCAGUCGCGGUAAUACGUAGAAGACUAGUGUUAUUCAUCUUUAAUAGGUUUAAAGGGUACCUAGACGGUAAAUCAAGCCUUCACAGGGACUAAUUUACUAGAGUUACUUACGAGGGGGUAUUAAAGUACUGCAGGUGUAGAGAUGAAAUUCUGUCAUACCUCUUUUCAAAAGAAAAAUUAUGGCACAGGUAUAGGUGAAAGCAUCCCCUUAUGUGAUAACUGACGUUGAAGGACGAAGGCUUUGUGUCGCGAACAGGAUUAGAUACCCCAGUAGUCAAAGCAGAAAAUGAUGAAUGUCAUAGAUUAGAUAAAUAGUUUAUUCUAUAAAUGAAAAUGUAAGCAUUCCACCUCAAGAGUAAUUUGGCAACAUUGGAACUGAAAUCAUUAGACCGUUUCUGAAACCAGUAGUGAAGUAUGUUGUUUAAUUUGAUGAUCCGCAAAAAACCUUACCACAAUUUGAAUAUUUAUAUCUAUCUUUUUUUUUCGUAAAAAAAUAAAAAGGUAAUAUAUUUACAAGCGUUGCACGGCUGUCUUCAGUUAAUGUCGCGAGACUUUGGUUAGUUCCAUUAAAUUAACGUAAACCCUUACUUUAUUUUUAUAUGAAGUAGUUCCCCGCUAUAUUGGAUAUGAUAACAGGG
Molecule: ribosomal RNA, 786 nt
Filed under: Lepraria neglecta
Lineage: Eukaryota; Fungi; Ascomycota; Lecanoromycetes; Lecanorales; Stereocaulaceae
Description: SSU rRNA
Rfam family: Bacterial small subunit ribosomal RNA
Source: RNAcentral